ACCCAUUGGUCAGUAUGCAGUUUAGAGCAUGGUGGGAAGAUGGAUGGAAGCUGUCACAGCAUCUGCCGCUGGAGAUGAUGGGCUAUGGUGAUUACAAGAGCCAUUGGCACAGCAGGUAUAAAGAACAGCCCAGGCCUGGUCUCAGGACAUGUUAAGGAUGGAAUGGACCCAGAAUGCGCUUGUUUCAGGAAGAAUGCUUCCUCCUGGAGUAAAAUAGGCUUUCUUCUGUCUUGUAUUGAAGUAGCGUCUGAAUAUUUGUUUCAACACUGUAGAGAAAGUGAGGUCUGCUUCGGAUCCAUCUUGCUACCUGAGUGUCCCUGCAAGGGAAGGGCUCGUAAGUGUUUGUACACGGACACCAGAGCUCACAGCCCACUCGUGCCAAGUCUGACCCGUGAAAAGAGAAAAGGAAUGGAGGUUGGUAUACAAAGCAUCUCUCCAGCUGGACCUGGUAAGGCAUGUAAUUGUCAAAAUUGUUCUCAUACUGACAAAACUUGA
This 495-nucleotide long non-coding RNA is filed under the name Anas zonorhyncha (Eastern spot-billed duck). RNAcentral describes it as "lncRNA (ENSAZOG00000001498.1)". Lineage: Eukaryota; Metazoa; Chordata; Aves; Anseriformes; Anatidae. The record is from RNAcentral.